Molecule: ribosomal RNA, 497 nt
Filed under: uncultured bacterium
Lineage: Bacteria
Description: partial 16S ribosomal RNA
Rfam family: Bacterial small subunit ribosomal RNA
Source: RNAcentral
GAUGAACGCUGGCGGCGUGCCUAAUACAUGCAAGUCGAGCGAACAGACGAGGAGCUUGCUCCUCUGAUGUUAGCGGCGGACGGGUGAGUAACACGUGGAUAACCUGCCUAUAAGACUGGGAUAACUUCGGGAAACCGGAGCUAAUACCGGAUAACAUGUUGAACCGCAUGGUUCAACAGUGAAAGACGGUCUUGCUGUCACUUAUAGAUGGAUCCGCGCCGCAUUAGCUAGUUGGUAAGGUAACGGCUUACCAAGGCAACGAUGCGUAGCCGACCUGAGAGGGUGAUCGGCCACACUGGAACUGAGACACGGUCCAGACUCCUACGGGAGGCAGCAGUAGGGAAUCUUCCGCAAUGGGCGAAAGCCUGACGGAGCAACGCCGCGUGAGUGAAGAAGGUCUUCGGAUCGUAAAACUCUGUUAUUAGGGAAGAACAAAUGUGUAAGUAGCUAUGCACGUCUUGACGGUACCUAAUCAGAAAGCCACGGCUAACUACGUG